CUAACACAUGCAAGUCGAGCGGCAGCGAGGUUAGUAGCAAUACUAAUUGUCGGCGAGCGGCGGACGGGUGAGGAACACGUAGGGAUCUGCCUUAGAGAGGGGGAUAACCAAGGGAAACUUUGGCUAAUACCGCAUAAACUCGGGAGAGAAAAGCUGCCUGCAAGGGUGGCGCUUUAAGAGGAACCUGCGUCCGAUUAGCUAGUUGGUAGGGUAAGGGCCUACCAAGGCGAGGAUCGGUAACUGGUCUGAGAGGACGACCAGUCACACUGGGACUGAGACACGGCCCAGACUCCUACGGGAGGCAGCAGUGGGGAAUCUUGGACAAUGGGGGCAACCCUGAUCCAGCGAUGCCGCGUGGGUGAAGAAGGCCUUCGGGUUGUAAAGCCCUUUAGGUUGGGAAGAAGUGCAUAAGUUUAAGAGAUGUAUGCAUUGACGGUACCGACAGAAUAAGCACCGGCAAACUCUGUGCCAGCCGCCGCCGUAA
RNAcentral lists this ribosomal RNA (484 nucleotides) under uncultured bacterium. Its description in RNAcentral is "partial 16S ribosomal RNA". It matches the Rfam family "Bacterial small subunit ribosomal RNA", at positions 48 to 523 of the family's 1533-position model. The record is from RNAcentral.